Molecule: long non-coding RNA, 202 nt
Filed under: Setaria italica (foxtail millet)
Lineage: Eukaryota; Viridiplantae; Streptophyta; Magnoliopsida; Poales; Poaceae
Description: long non-coding RNA (SITA_LNC003375)
Source: RNAcentral
CAAGACAACACCAGCAACAACACCUGAAAAAGAAGCCACAAGCAAGGCUGAGUAUACUAAUACUCAACAAGGCUUACCCGUCAGGUGGUAACUACUCCACCGACUCCUAGACAUGCAAGGCUUUUUGGCGGUGGGUUUGUUUUUGCCAAAAGCGACUAAAGUUGGUCCUUACUUUCAAUAUUUUAGCUCAAGUUCUAAGUUU